Molecule: ribosomal RNA, 391 nt
Filed under: Coptotermes gestroi
Lineage: Eukaryota; Metazoa; Arthropoda; Insecta; Blattodea; Rhinotermitidae
Description: partial 16S ribosomal RNA
Source: RNAcentral
CUUUUCUUGUUAGUUUUUGAAGUAUGGCCUGCCCGCUGACAUUUGGUGUUGAAGGGCCGCGGUAUUUUGACCGUGCAAAGGUAGCAUAAUCAUUAGUUCUUUAAUUGUGAUCUGGAAUGAAUGGCUUGACGAGGCACGGGCUGUCUUAGUGUUGAAUGUUUUAUUGAAUUUGGUCUUUGAGUUAAAAUUCUUAGAUGUUUUUGUGGGACGAGAAGACCCUAUAGAGUUUGACAUUUGGUUUAUUUACUUGUUUGUUGUUUGUUUAUUUUUGGUGAGUGGGCUUUUUGUUUUGUUGGGGUGAUGGGAGGAAUGUACUUAACUCCUCUUAGUUUUGGUUAUAUUGAUUUAUAAUUAUUUGAUCCAUUUAUUUUGAUUGUAAGACUAAAUUACC